AUUGAACGCUGGCGGCAGGCCUAACACAUGCAAGUCGAACGAGUGGCGGACGGGUGAGUAAUGUCGGGAAAAUAGCCUGAUGGAGGGGGAUAACUACUGGAAACGGUAGCUAAUACCGCAUACCAUUGGAUGUGCCCAGAUGGGAUUAGCUAGUAGGUUGGGUAAAGGCUCACCUAGGCGACGAGCCCUAGCUGGUCUGAGAGGAUGACCAGCCACACUGGAACUGAGACACGGUCCAGACUCCUACGGGAGGCAGCAGUGGGGAAUAUUGCGCAAUGGGCGCAAGCCUGAUGAAGCCAUGCCGCGUGUAUGAAGAAGGCCUUCGGGUUGUAAAGUACUUUCAGCGGGGAGGCGUUACCCGCAGAAGAAGCACCGGCUAACUCCGUGCCAGCAGCCGCGGUAAUAC
This 406-nucleotide ribosomal RNA is filed under the name uncultured bacterium. RNAcentral's name for it is "partial 16S ribosomal RNA". It matches the Rfam family "Bacterial small subunit ribosomal RNA", at positions 30 to 526 of the family's 1533-position model. The record is from RNAcentral.